Long non-coding RNA from Nelumbo nucifera (sacred lotus), 635 nucleotides. RefSeq lists it as uncharacterized. Lineage: Eukaryota; Viridiplantae; Streptophyta; Magnoliopsida; Proteales; Nelumbonaceae. The record is from RefSeq and is a predicted model, not a curated record.
CAACAACAACAUCAACAAGUGCUCAAAGCCACAUGGACAUAGAAACGCCCAUUCCUUCAACCUUGUAUUACUAUCAUCACACAGGUGCCGGCUUUAGUUCCGGAGAAAGAAGAGGCCGGAGGAGGAGGAGGACGACGACGACGACGAGAAGAGCAAAGCAUUUUCAUUAUCAAAUUCAGGGAAAAACGACCAAUUCUCAAGUUACACCGGACAACCUGUAAACGUUUAUUUGGAAUACUCAUUUGAGCAAGAAAAUUCUAGCCUCUCAUGGUGUUGAAGAAAGACGAAGGUUUAAGAGAUACAAGACCUCAGCCUCGUACCUUCAUCACCUUUAAGAGCGGUUGAUACAUUUGUCGCAUGGUUUUAAGAAUAAUCAAUCUUAGCAGUAGUGCUGAAUGCAACCUUAUCGAUCUCACAUAUGUUUACAGAAGUGUUCAACUCAAUCUACAUGAGGAAUGAAUGCUAUUAUAUUAAUUUCACCUCAAAAAAAAAAAAAAAAAAUAGAGGAUCAGGGUGUAGAGCUUCCAGGAGUGGUGAUACUUCGUCUGAAGAGUCAAGACAACAUGAAUCCUAUUUUACAAGAGAAGUAUAAGUUAGUUAUUAAUAGAAAGUUUAAUAUAAUUGGCAUUGGAUAA